UGUAGUCUGCAACCCGACUACAUGAAGCUGGAAUCGCUAGUAAUCGCGGAUCAGAAUGCCGCGGUGAAUACGUUCCCGGGUCUUGUACACACCGCCCGUCACACCAUGGGAGUCGGUAACACCCAAAGUUGGUAGUCUAACCGCAAGGAGGACGCCGCCUAAGGUGGGAUUGAUGACUGGGGUGAAGUCGUAACAAGGUACC
RNAcentral lists this ribosomal RNA (202 nucleotides) under uncultured bacterium. RNAcentral describes it as "partial 16S ribosomal RNA". It matches the Rfam family "Bacterial small subunit ribosomal RNA", at positions 1299 to 1500 of the family's 1533-position model. The record is from RNAcentral.